This is a long non-coding RNA of Myzus persicae (green peach aphid), 593 nucleotides long. RefSeq lists it as uncharacterized. NCBI's taxonomy places the organism in Eukaryota, Metazoa, Arthropoda, Insecta, Hemiptera, Aphididae. The record is from RefSeq and is a predicted model, not a curated record. The transcript has 5 exons.
ACUAGUUAAGUAGUUAAAAUUUUAAAAAGUUAUAAUAAAAUUUAAAAAAGGGUGGUCAAGUGGAUGUCACUCUGCUGUACAGUAGGUUACACGAUGGAGGCUAUGGUGAUGGAGGUGGACCGAUUUGGCGUCUUAGGUAUAAAUAUUUCAUUACCAUGCGCAAUACACGGGCAGCUAUAGGAUUGGUUUUAAUGAGGUCUAAUACCAGAUUGUACCUACGCCGACAAUAUCUCACAAUUGACUAAAAGAAAACUUAGGGGAAGUAAAAGGUAAUAACCUGGCAGAAAUGAAACCAACAACAUUGUAGUCGACUCUCUGGAAACACCUCUUGUACAGCAUUCAUCAGCCCACGCUCAUAAUCUGUGAUUAUUGUAAGACCAUCAUAAUUUAAUGGUAACAUAUUUCUAACUACCAGAAAGAAAGUGAUGUAUGCUUGUUCUGUAGUCGUGGACAAGAGUGCAUAUACAAUUGGAAAUGACUAGUGAACUCGGAGUGGUCUUAAAUGUUCCGUCACAACCUACAUAAGUUACAGUGCGUAACUCUUCGUUAAACAUUGCUAUCAAAUCUAAAUUUGCAAAUAUUACACCGAUUGU